This 300-nucleotide ribosomal RNA is filed under the name uncultured Colwelliaceae bacterium. Its description in RNAcentral is "bacterial SSU rRNA". It matches the Rfam family "Bacterial small subunit ribosomal RNA", at positions 114 to 426 of the family's 1533-position model. The record is from RNAcentral. Lineage: Bacteria; Pseudomonadati; Pseudomonadota; Gammaproteobacteria; Alteromonadales; Colwelliaceae.
UACUUAGGGAUCUGCCUUCGGGAGGGGAUAACCAUUGGAAACGAUGGCUAAUGCCGCAUAACGUCUACGGACCAAAGGGGGCUUCGGCUCUCACCUGAAGAGGAACCUAAGCGAGAUUAGCUUGUUGGUGAGGUAAAGGCUCACCAAGGCGACGAUCUCUAGCUGUUCUGAGAGGAAGAUCAGCCACACUGGGACUGAGACACGGCCCAGACUCCUACGGGAGGCAGCAGUGGGGAAUAUUGCACAAUGGGGGAAACCCUGAUGCGGCCAUGCCGCGUGUGAAGAAGGCCUUCCGGUUGU